AAGCUCGUAGUUGAAUUUCGGGGUUAGUAGGUUGGUCAUGCCUCUGGUAUGUACUGGUCUCACUGAUUCCUCCUUCCUUAUGAACCGUAAUGCCAUUAAUUUGGUGUUGCGGGGAAUUUGGACUGUUACUUUGAAAAAAUUAGAGUGUUUAAAGCAAGCUAACGCUUGAAUACAUUAGCAUGGAAUAAUGAAAUAGGACGUUCGAUCUUAUUUUGUUGGUUUCUAGGAUUGACGUAAUGAUUAAUAGGGAUAGGUUGGGCGAGCGGGCUGGCAAGGC
This 277-nucleotide ribosomal RNA is filed under the name uncultured Glomus. RNAcentral describes it as "partial 18S ribosomal RNA". It matches the Rfam family "Eukaryotic small subunit ribosomal RNA", at positions 624 to 905 of the family's 1831-position model. The record is from RNAcentral. Lineage: Eukaryota; Fungi; Glomeromycota; Glomeromycetes; Glomerales; Glomeraceae.